Molecule: long non-coding RNA, 1000 nt
Organism: Dreissena polymorpha
Lineage: Eukaryota; Metazoa; Mollusca; Bivalvia; Myida; Dreissenidae
Exons: 3
Source: RefSeq, a predicted model, not a curated record
CAAUGACGCACAUGCAAAGACAAGAAAUGUUAUCGAAAGAGCAUUCGGUGUACUGAAGCGGAGGUUUCAUGUCCUUCAUGGAGAGGUACGAAUGAAGCCGGGCAAGGUAACAAAAAUAAUUCUGGCAUGUGUAGUAUUGCACAAUCUCGCUAAGGCAUGGGGUGAGAGGGAGGCAUUCCCAGAGGAAGAAGACCCUCAACCUCCACCACUUGUCCAGCUUGAGGGUAACCCUGACGGGCAGGCUAUCCGGGAUGCAAUAACAGCAAACUAUUUCAGAUGAAGACGGACGGACAUUACAAGGCACCAUGGGUGACUUGAUCUAUGUAUGGCGUAAUAGUAUUCAGACUGAUGUACAGACAUAGACAAAACAAGUCUUAAAAAUGUGUGUUCAUUUACAUCUGAUAAAGACAAAACAAGUCUAUAAAAUGUGUGUUCAUUUACAUCUGAUAAAGACAAAACAAGUCUAUAAAAUGUGUGUUCAUUUACAUCUGAUAAAGACAAAACAAGUCUUUAAAAUGUGUGUUCAUAAAUAUAUAGUUUAAUAAUUUUGAUUAUUUUCCCUGUGCAUAAUUAUAGAGAUCCAUUGUUUAAAUUUAACUGACAACUAGGUCAGCCAUCAGCUGAUUGAACAGAUGUAUUUAAAUAUAGGUCAGGAAUUUUCUCACGCACCUUGUAAACACUGUCUACUACUGAGUGUCUACUCUGGUGGAAAGUGUACUGCAGUAAUUUAAAUUUGCUGGUAUAGGCAAAGGUGUAAAUUAGUAAGAAUAACUUACUUUUGUUUACAUUUUUGUGUUUAUUGUGAGAUGAUUUCAUGUACAUCCAUAAAAUUUUAAAUAGAAACUAAAUGUUAAGUCACUUGUUUGUAAAACCUUGCAAGAGGUAGAUGUUGUAGUUGGCUAUUUUCAAUUGCCACUUUCUACACUAAGUCUUGGUCACUGACCAUCAUUUACAUAUAUUAAAAACUUGGAACUUAAAACCCCUUGUGUUGUUUACACAA